Sander lucioperca (pikeperch) is the source of this 3468-nucleotide long non-coding RNA. RefSeq lists it as uncharacterized. The record is from RefSeq and is a predicted model, not a curated record. NCBI's taxonomy places the organism in Eukaryota, Metazoa, Chordata, Actinopteri, Perciformes, Percidae. The transcript is spliced from 2 exons.
GAAAUGUGGGAACAUAGGGCUGUGGGAACAUAGGGCCUAAUUUUAAUAAUAAUCUUAGAAAUGUGGAAACAUAGGGCUGUGGGAACAUAAGGCUAACCCCCAGCUAACUAUCAAUUAGCAAACUUGCUAGCUCAAUUGCUAAAUUGACAAUCGAAAUCACGCCACAUCUCUUUUGUGGAGCAGAGGACGAUACUCUGUUAGAGACAGCUAGUGUAAAAUAAUUUUUCAAUAGCUGGCUCCAUUUUAGACUCUCUGGCUAUCCGUUCCCUCAAAAUGUCAGGACUGUCUUGACUGUUUGCAAAUAGGAAACCGUGUGAAUACGUGUUUACUUCGCCGCUGCAAGUCCAUCCACUGAUCUAUACACUUCUUCUGAAGCUUUGUUAGAAAUGAUGGUGUGAUUGGGCGCUAAGACGUUUUAUGAACCCUACAAAGUGACGAAGUCGGCAAAGGAAAGGUCACCGUUUAUUUCAUUAAUGUGUUUACUGUGUUAAUGGACUGAGGAUGGGAAGAGGAUUCGGUAUUCGGUUUCGGAUUCGGCAGAAUCUUAACCAGUGGAUUCGGUAUUCGCCCGAACCCCAAAAAUGGGUUAAAACAGAUGAUCUGGCCUAGUUAACCAUCAAAAUAUGGUCUAAAAGGGAAUACUGAGAAAGAAAUUGGUUCUAAAUGUCGACACAUUCUCUUAAUAUUCCCCAAAUCUAAUCUUGCAAUAUCCACUCAAAGAUUUAUUUUCGCCCUCGCGGUUUGCGGCAGUGAAUCAUGAAGUUCAUUGAGAAACACUCAAUACUUUACAAGCUCUCACUGACUUCCUCUUCAGUACUUCCUCUCGAAAGUCUUACCCUGCCCAAAUCUAACCAACAAAGAACUAACCGAGAACGCAUUGUCAUGUGUGAGUGCUUAUGAAAUUCACACUGAAAGUUGAUAGUGUGUUUUCAGACCUCUGGGACUAUGCGCAUGUCAAAUGGUUAUUAAAAUAAAGUCUUUGUUCCCAGUGUUGAACUGGAAGAACAUGGCUGCAGUUCUGAAAGCACCAGAUUUCUCCCAAACUAUCUAACAAACCCAGCGUCUGAAUAAAUCGGAUGCUAUAACUAGUCUGUGUUGUUGCAGAAUUACGAUUUCCAGACUUGAAUCUCGCAGCGAUAACUGUUCUCUGUGAGAUGUUGUCUGGUUGUAAAAGAGCUGGUCUGGCUGGAGCUUCACCAAAGUCUUUUGUGUGUAGCAGCUGGUUUAAGCCUCGUAUUUUUUUAAUACCAGGCUGACGUUCUUGUCCAGAUUAAGUGCCCUGAUACACAAAGCUGACCUUAAACAACGAACGCCGCCAAUGGAUGACUGAUCCAACGCUUUGCGUCUUUACAGUCUCUAGAAAAGUUGAGAUUUGCGUCCACUGUGUACAUCUGUCCACAGUGGACACAUAUCUCUUCUUCAAAUCCACGCUAUAGUUAUCCUCAUUUGCUGUUUGUGUUGUCAGACCACUGAAAGAGUACAAAAGUUAUUUAAUCAAGGCUGCUGUGCUGCAGUAAUAAAGUCAUAAUGUUAUAAUCACGAUGACAAAAUCACUACAACUGAGUUGGUAGCGAAACGAGUCAUUUCGAUUGAGUUGUGGCGCUUAAAUAAAUGUAUCCACUGAUUUACAGACUUCACUUAUGCCCUGUAAGUCAAUGGAAAAAAAGUAUUUUUGCGCCAGAGUGCAUAACGUGACAGACUCGACUGUCGUAAUUCCACGGUUUGGCCACUAUGUCGAAUUGGCUUCAAAGCCCCGCCCACUUCCUGGGAUCUGUGUAAACCAGACUAUGAUGUCAAGCACGCAAUUCAGUUUCCAUUGGAUGGAUAUUUCCCAAUUUUAUAUGCCAUCGUAGCGGCGCUUGUUAAGUCCUAUCAUAAAGAUCGUGAAUCCACUGACUGACGAUCAGUUUACACAUCCGUGCUUCUGCUUCACGAGGGAAUCAAAACGAGCGUAUUUGAGGAACAUUUGCAGAAAGUUUAACCUUUUUCAACUUCUUCACGUCAACUUAAAUGUCACAUACCUAUACCGUCCUUUUAAGCUUUUUAAAGUUCAACUAUUUUAGGCAAGAAGCUGAUGAAAUAUUAACUUUAAACCUGGAUUCAGAUUAGAUUAAAUGCUGUUAAAUCCCGACCUUCCACUUGACCGCGGCGGUCAGCGAUGAACGCCCAAACGUGGCCUGAUAACAGUCCCCAAAAAUAACAAUUUGUUGGCUUUGUGUAUCAGGGCUUCCAGCGAAUGCAACAAUAAAAUAUCCUAAUUCCCAAAUGUCACCGGCCUUGGAUUAUUGCUGAUGUCAGAGGUCAGAGAUCACAGCACAAAAAUGAUGGGAUACAAAAACCCAGUGACUGUAUGAUCCACCGUUGACAAAAAAGGGGAAGGGAAAUAAAAAGGAAGAGAACUUUCCAUCAGGUUAUCUGACCGUACAACCACAUGAUGUGGACUGUCAGAGCUCUAACUGAUCGAUAGUACUAUUAAUCUUCCUCUGUGGAAGUUGGGAGAUUUAUUUAUAUCUUAUUAUAAAUAAAAGAGGAAUAUAUCACCUUAAAGAGUCUCUGUGUUGUAUAACGAGAAGUUCGAUGUGUGAUAUAUAGACUUUAUGUUGGAUCUCAGGGCUUCUGGACUCUGGUUUAAGCAGAAAUCGGCUUUAUGUUUUACAUGAGAUCAGGAAAAUCCAAAGCUGUAAAUUCUUUAAAAAAAAAGUUUUUUAUUGCCUUCAUGCUUUUUUAUAUUCUUUGAUUUAAGGGGCUUUUUUUGGCUUAUUUUUAUAUCCUGUCUUCCUUUCUUCUAUCUGUGUAUGCAAGUUUUAUUGGAGGUAUCUUCCACAGUUUCUGCUACUUAAAGCUGCAUUAAUUGUUGUUUUUAGGCAGCAAAACCACCUUAAAAAAACACAUUACAUUGACAUUAGGGCUGCAACUAAAGUUGUGAACAUUGGCCAAUAUAAAACAUCAAAUUCUCACUUUUGAGAAGCUGGAACCAACAAAGUGAUAAAUGACGAUUAAUCAACUGAUUAAUUCUGAAAUAAGUUGCCAUGUAAAACACAAACUAGGAGCUAAAGAAGGCUCAAGGUGACUCCUUUUAAAUUACAGUCUCAGUACAUUGAAUUUAAAAUAUAAAAAAUAUGAAUUAAUGCAGCUUUAAAGACAGCAAAACUACUGAUCAGGUUAUUAUGAAAUGUGUUGAUGCUUUUAUUUUGUAGUAUCCAGAAUCUUCUGUCCUUUAAUUAUGUAAAUUAAUGAUUAAAUAUUUUAAAUUACUAAAAUGUUCUUUAAACCAAAUGUAACUCUUCAAUGAUUCAGUAAAAGUGACUCUUGAAUGUAGGUUUUUGAGUUAUAAUAUAAAAAAAAAAAUGUUUUUUUUUGUUGUCUGUGUACACAUCAGAUUCACUGGCUACAAAAUGAUGUUGCUUUAGGUUUAUAUGGCUUUACUUUUGUUUGUUUUUCUGCUAAAUAAAAUGAUUUUAAAUGGUC